This 344-nucleotide unclassified non-coding RNA is filed under the name soil metagenome. RNAcentral's name for it is "partial contains 5.8S ribosomal RNA, internal transcribed spacer 2, and large subunit ribosomal RNA". The stretch from base 2 to 121 matches the Rfam family "5.8S ribosomal RNA", at positions 35 to 154 of the family's 154-position model. The record is from RNAcentral.
GGAUGAAGAACGUAGCGAAAUGCGAUAAGUAAUGUGAAUUGCAGAAUCCAGUGAAUCAUCGAAUCUUUGAACGCACAUUGCGCCCGCCAGCAUUCUGGCGGGCAUGCCUGUUCGAGCGUCAUUUCAACCCUCGACCUCCCUUUGGGGAAGUCGGCGUUGGGGACCGGCAGCACACCGCCGGCCCUGAAAUGGAGUGGCGGCCCGUCCGCGGCGACCUCUGCGUAGUAAACCAACUCGCACCGGAACCCCGACGUGGCCACGCCGUAAAACACCCAACUUCUGAACGUUGACCUCGAAUCAGGUAGGACUACCCGCUGAACUUAAGCAUAUCAAUAAGCGGAGGA